This 1977-nucleotide ribosomal RNA is filed under the name human gut metagenome. RNAcentral describes it as "bacterial LSU rRNA". It matches the Rfam family "Bacterial large subunit ribosomal RNA", at positions 1 to 1999 of the family's 2925-position model. The record is from RNAcentral.
GAAAGUAAGCAAGGGCAGACGGUGGAUGCCUUGGCUCUCGGAGGCGACGAAGGACGUGAUAAGCUGCGAAAAGCCCGGGGGAGGCGCAAAUAGCCGUUGAUCCCGGGAUAUCCGAAUGGGGCAACCCGGCAGGCUGAAGGCCUGUCAUCCCGAAAGGGAGGCGAACGUGGGGAACUGAAACAUCUAAGUACCCAUAGGAGGAGAAAAUAAACAAUGAUUCCGUAAGUAGUGGCGAGCGAACACGGAAGAGCCCAAACCCAUGUCGUCUAGGCGACACGGGGGUUGUAGGACCACGACGUGGCAAGAAGGAAGGGAAAUGGAACGACUUGGAAAAGUCGGCCAUAGACGGUGAAAGCCCGGUACAUGACUCCCUUACGAAGCCUAGUGGUAUCCUGAGUAGCGCGGGGCACGAGAAAUCUUGCGUGAAGCAGCGGGGCCCAUCCCGUAAGGCUAAAUACUCCCGAGAGACCGAUAGCGAACCAGUACCGUGAGGGAAAGGUGAAAAGAACCCCGAGCAGGGGAGUGAAAUAGACCCUGAACCCGUCUGCCUACAAGCGGUCGGAGCGUCGUAAUGACGUGACGGCGUGCCUUUUGCAUAAUGAACCUACGAGUUACCUUCCCCGGCAAGGUUAAGUUCUUGAGGAACGGAGCCGAAGCGAAAGCGAGUCUGAACAGGGCGCCAAGUCGGGGGGGGUAGACGCGAAACCGAGUGAUCUACCCUUGGCCAGGUUGAAGGUUGGGUAACACCAACUGGAGGACCGGAUGGGUAAGCGUUGAAAAGCUUUCCAAUGAGCUGAGGGUAGGGGUGAAAGGCUAAUCAAACUCGGAGAUAGCUCGUACUCCCCGAAAUGCAUUUAGGUGCAGCCUCUUUAUAGUAUAUCGUGAGGUAGAGCGACUGAUUGGAUGCGAGGGCUUCACCGCCUAUCAAGUCCAGAUAAACUCCGAAUGCGCGAUAUAUAUUUACAGGGAGUGAGGGCGCGGGUGCUAAGGUCCGUGUCCGAGAGGAGAAGAAUCCAGACCACCGGCUAAGGCCCCCAAAUGAUCGUUAAGUUGAACUAACGAGGUCGGAUCGCAGAGACAGCUAGGAUGUUGGCUUGGAAGCAGCCAUUCAUUUAAAGAGUGCGUAACAGCUCACUAGUCGAGCGAUCUGGCGUGGAUAAUAAUCGGGCAUAAACGAUCUGCCGAAGCCGUGGAUGUCGCAAGACAUGGUAGGGGAGCAUUCCAUGCCGCGUCGAAGAUGAGGGAUGACCCUUGUUGGAGCGCAUGGAAAAGCAAAUGUAGGUAUGAGUAACGAUAAGGGGGGCGAGAAACCCCCCCGCCGAAAGACCAAGGUUUCCUGAUCAACGCUAAUCGGAUCAGGGUGAGUCGGGACCUAAGGCAAAGCCGAACGGCGCCGCCGAUGGAAGAAUGGGUUAAUAUUCCCAUACUGCCUCAUGGAGUGACGUGGAGACGGAGAAGUGACAGUCCUGCCGGCUGACGGAAUAGCCGGUUGAAGGGUGUAGAUAUUGAUUCCCGUAGGCAAAUCCGCGGGGAGAGUCGAACCUGAGAGUAUACGGAGCGCUUGCGCAACGUAAUAUGGACGUAACCAUGCUCCCGAGAAAAUCCGCUAAACUUAUCCAUGCGGCACCCGUACCGUAAACGGACACACGUGGUCGGGUUGAGAAUACUGAGGCGCUCGAGUGAUUCACGGUUAAGGAACUAGGCAAAUUGACCCUGUAACUUCGGGAUAAAGGGUCCUCGUCGUAAGGCGAGGCGCAGAGAAUAGGUCCAGGCAACUGUUUAACAAAAACACAUGGCUGUGCUAAAUGGAAACAUGAUGUAUACAGCCUGACACCUGCCCGGUGCCGGAAGGUUAAGAGGAGAUGUCAUCCGCGAGGAGAAGCGUUGAAUUGAAGCCCCGGUAAACGGCGGCCGUAACUAUAACGGUCCUAAGGUAGCGAAAUUCCUUGUCGGGUAAGUUCCGACCUGCACGAAUGG